This 473-nucleotide ribosomal RNA is filed under the name uncultured bacterium. RNAcentral describes it as "bacterial SSU rRNA". It matches the Rfam family "Bacterial small subunit ribosomal RNA", at positions 335 to 800 of the family's 1533-position model. The record is from RNAcentral.
ACUCCUACGGGAGGCAGCAGUAGGGAAUCUUCCACAAUGGACGAAAGUCUGAUGGAGCAACGCCGCGUGAGUGAAGAAGGGUUUCGGCUCGUAAAACUCUGUUGUUAAAGAAGAACAUAUCUGAGAGUAACUGUUCAGGUAUUGACGGUAUUUAACCAGAAAGCCACGGCUAACUACGUGCCAGCAGCCGCGGUAAUACGUAGGUGGCAAGCGUUGUCCGGAUUUAUUGGGGCGUAAAGCGAGCGCAGGCGGUUUUUAAGUCUGAUGUGAAAGCCUUCGGCUCAACCGAAGAAGUGCAUCGGAAACUGGGAAACUUGAGUGCAGAAGAGGACAGUGGAACUCCAUGUGUAGCGGUGAAAUGCGUAGAUAUAUGGAAGAACACCAGUGGCGAAGGCGGCUGUCUGGUCUGUAACUGACGCUGAGGCUCGAAAGUAUGGGUAGCAAACAGGAUUAGAUACCCUGGUAGGAUAGCC